This is a long non-coding RNA of Haliotis rubra (blacklip abalone), 1056 nucleotides long. RefSeq lists it as uncharacterized. NCBI's taxonomy places the organism in Eukaryota, Metazoa, Mollusca, Gastropoda, Lepetellida, Haliotidae. The record is from RefSeq and is a predicted model, not a curated record. The transcript is spliced from 2 exons.
ACAGUUUUGAAGUUACGACAUUAUUUUCAGAUUGUUUUUUAAAACCUGUGAUGACCUCCAACUAAUUUAUUCAGUAUAUAGCGAGUAUUGGCUUGGCCGUGUAUACUUAUCACAUAUAGUGGUGUUAUCCCUGUGAAAGGGAUGAGUAUUGGAAACAUAUCGUGAACUGAAUUGUACCCUUGGUUCUGGCGAUGGUAACUGGACAUUUUAGUACUGAUUUGCUGAGGGACUGAGGAUCACCUUAAUUGAAUGGAAAUGACGGCUGUCUACUGUAUGUACGCAUUGAUGGUACUUGGCUUGGUGGACUUGGGGGUCACACAAACAUUGUACGAGGACGUUCCACAAUACAUGCAAGGCACUGGGAGCUAUGACAAGAGAAAUGCAGAGAGUGUCCGGACAUUCCACCGUAAAACAAGAUCUCCAACAUGUGGAUGUUGCGUUCAGAGCAGAAUGACUAACCAGUUUUGUUGUGAUUUGUGUACCAACUUAGUGAAGCGAUCGGAUCGGGAACCCAAGCUGGAACAAACUGUGGCCCCGAUAUAUUCAGAAAAAAGGAUGUCUAGCAGUUGCUUCUGUUGCAAAACCACCCUAAACAGGAAAUGUUGUAAGAACUGCAAAUUCUUCGUCUAGGAGCUGUCAUGUUGCCGGUGCCUCUCAUUGCCAGAUUUCUUGGAACUCUCCUGCAAGGAUGUACGUUUCGUUCGAUCUUUCUCUGUGUAUGACGAAAACAUACUCUACUCAUUGGUUGUUUUGAAAAGCUAUAUUCAUCAGACUUAUCAAAGGUGGGACUAUUGACAAUAUUAAGUAACGCACACCCGAGGUGCUGACGACUCUAAACGUAUGUGUUCCUAUGUUGAAUCUCCUCAGCGCAGUGCAAUCUUUGGUAUGUUGGGUUUUGUUUAAGUAACUCUUGGAUUAGGCUAUAUUUGGCCAAAAUAAGCAUUUCUGACAUUUCCAGAUACACAUGCCCAUAGCAUGAAAGUGAUCCUUACAUUAUAAUUUGACGAUGACUAGGUAAUUAAAAGAAAUAUAAUAAAUGUCAGAAUUGAAUAACAA